Molecule: long non-coding RNA, 2307 nt
Organism: Ostrea edulis (European flat oyster)
Lineage: Eukaryota; Metazoa; Mollusca; Bivalvia; Ostreida; Ostreidae
Exons: 3
Source: RefSeq, a predicted model, not a curated record
GAGAGAGAGAGAGAGAGAGAGAGAGAGAGAGAGAUGUGCUAAAUUCACUAUAUACAUGCAGAUGGAUACCCUCUUUCGCCUCAGUCCGGGGUUCAACUCGCGUCCCGUUCAGCAGCUGCGUUUGAACAGCACACUAGACCGACCGACCAUCUAGACCAUUUAAAAAAAAUGGCUUAUCUUACUACGGUGUGAGAUUGCUACUCGGUCAUUGAAAAAGGAGAGAAGAUAUGUUACAUUUAUUUGACGUCCAUUUAAGAGGAUUGUGCAUAUUAUGAUGCAUAUUGCACCUGGAAUAUCUUUAUAAAGCACUAGAUUGUAAUUAACUCUUAACUCAACAUAACUGUCUGAAUGAAUAUUGAAUAUACACAGUGAAUAUUGAAUAUUGAAUAUAUACAUUGUACGUUGAUUACCACAUAAAGGUUAGAAAGGAGAACGUGGGUUAUAUUUUUUCUCCGAAUGGUGCAGAUGUGCUGUAAUCAAUGGGUGUCACUUAAUGGACAAUUCUAUAUGCUUCCGCUCUACCGCAUUCAAAUCUUCACAGCGUUCUCAAAAUCUUUUAUUUGAAUAGAGAUUUAUCAUUUCCUUAUUCACAUACUCAAGGGCAAAUUAACCACGAAUAUCUAAACAUUAAAAGUACAUUAAAUCAUCAUGUAUCUUCCUUUCUACAAACUAUCAGUUAACCCAAACCACACAAACACGGCCAGAGAGUGCAGAGCAGGUUGCGGUUGAACUAAAUCCAUCUCCUAUACAAAUUACAUGUGUUAAUUAGGUACAACUUUAGCUACAAUUAUUUACGAGCCAAUUUGCACACUGAAAAAAUAUACUAUGAAGACAUUGAGAGCAUUUUUUUUAAAUAAAUAAAAAAAACCACGAGAUGCGGGACAUUGUAAAUAAUGAAUCAACGCGUCUGUAUUGAUAUAUACAUGCAGUCUAUGCGCGAAGAAGCCGCACAACGGGUCAUUAAAAUGUUUAUUAUAGUAUUCUACAUUAUUUCACAUGAAUAUGGAUUAAUGCAAUUAUUAUCAAGUAAUUGUGAAUGUAAUAAAAUAAAAUAUGCUGGUGUUUAUGUAUAUACGUCGUAGUGGCUUUUUAACAAUUCAAAAAGACUCCCAUUCAGAUAUUAGAGGACAUGGUUCCGGGUUCAAUGUGUAAUUGAGUGCAUGGAGGAUGAGGAAAAAUCAAUGCAGUUUAUGAAUUGUACUUGUUACGAAAAUAGACCACAGUUUGUUGUAUCAUUCAACACAUCGGUAGUAUUGAACAAUAUGUGUUUGAAUUAGGAAAUGUUACUGGAAAAUUCCACAUUUGCGUCUCUGUCGUUUCACCGAUUUUGUCGUCCUCCUUUCAUCUCACAAAUAUUCAUUUUUUGCGCAGACGAUAUUCAGACUUCCGGGGGGUGAAGCCGUGUUCAAAACGAGUUUCAUACUGUUUUAUUUUUUUUAUGCAGUGAUAAUAAGACAUCUAUUGUUUUUUAGAAAUAUUGCGGUGAUGUAAUCGUGCACUUUAAACAAUGGAUAGAGCACAUGGAGUAUUGAAAAAUUGAUUUGUUUACACAUCUGCUUACAAAGUCAUCUUUCUGUGUAAUAGAAUGUUUGACUCUUUGACGAUCGGAAUGAGCCUUCGCAUGAAUGAUGCACGUCACGUAAAACAACGACUAGGUGUAAGAAGCGUUGUCAUUGGACGGACGGUCACACCUCGUACACUACACACCGAAGGUUCGCAACUAUAAAUAGACCGUUCAUUCAACAUGGACAUCACAUUAGGUGAAGACCUCAUUUCGAGAGAACGGUGUGAGGGAAUUUGUGAAUAUUCAUGAUGCAGACCUUUCCCAGCUCAUUACCAGCCUUUGCUAUAAUUUUCAUAUUAGUCGUUUCUGCAACUGUCAGUAUAGUACACACAGCACCAAUGGAUUAUAAAAUUUCAUACACGGGGGGAUGCAAACAAACGAAAAUCACUGAUGGAUUGAAGUGUGCCAGGGAAUUCGAUAAGCUUUGGCACAGCAGGAAAACGAAGCAUUGUCCUAUGCAAAUCAUAAUUUGUAUGUUUCAUUUCCAUAUAGGAGACUACGAUUUUUUGAAAGGACGUGUGGACACGAUGAGAUAAUACCAGGAGGAGAAUUCCAUACGAGAAGUUUCAUUUCAUAUCAUCGGACAUUGUAUUUAUUACUCUUGAAGUAGAUUAACAUUAUUUCAAUUUUACCGACUAUUUGUUAUGCAAUGUUUUGAGUUUGUUGAUGAAUCCAUCCAAGUGCCAAGUUGUUGCUUUUUUGAUACUAUGAUUAUUUUUAUAAUAAAAGUGCGAAACCCUUAA